This 484-nucleotide ribosomal RNA is filed under the name uncultured bacterium. RNAcentral describes it as "partial 16S ribosomal RNA". It matches the Rfam family "Bacterial small subunit ribosomal RNA", at positions 28 to 507 of the family's 1533-position model. The record is from RNAcentral.
AUUGAACGCUGGCGGCAUGCUUUACACAUGCAAGUCGAACGGCAGCGCGGGCUUCGGCCUGGCGGCGAGUGGCGAACGGGUGAGUAAUGCAUCGGAACGUGCCCAGUAGUGGGGGAUAGCCCGGCGAAAGCCGGAUUAAUACCGCAUACGACCUGAGGGUGAAAGCGGGGGACCGAAAGGCCUCGCGCUAUUGGAGCGGCCGAUGUCGGAUUAGCUAGUUGGUGGGGUAAAGGCUUACCAAGGCGACGAUCCGUAGCUGGUCUGAGGGGACGACCAGCCACACUGGGACUGAGACACGGCCCAGACGCCUACGGGAGGCAGCAGUGGGGAAUUUUGGACAAUGGGGGCAACCCUGAUCCAGCCAUGCCGCGUGCGGGAAGAAGGCCUUCGGGUUGUAAACCGCUUUUGUUCGGGAAGAAAUCCUCUGGGCUAAUACCCCGGGGGGAUGACGGUACCGGAAGAAUAAGCACCGGCUAACUACGUG